Talpa occidentalis (Iberian mole) is the source of this 1995-nucleotide long non-coding RNA. RefSeq lists it as uncharacterized. NCBI's taxonomy places the organism in Eukaryota, Metazoa, Chordata, Mammalia, Eulipotyphla, Talpidae. The record is from RefSeq and is a predicted model, not a curated record. The transcript is spliced from 3 exons.
AGUCAGGAGGUGGGAGGAAGGGCUGGGAGAAGGCUCUAGUGUCGACUCCAGUGGCGGUGUAGCAGUGGUGGGACAGAAGCACAGCCCCACUAGCCUGGCCGGGCUCCCAGGCCCGCCCCUCCCACUUCUCUGCCAGAUGGGAGACCUGGAGUUGAGGAGCAACACAGCUUGCCCAAGAGCACCAGCACAGCUAGCGGAGCAGCCAGGAGGACCAUGCCCAGCUAGCCGGGACACAAGCUCCCAGCCAAUUCCUAUCCUCCCUAUUUAUACUCCCAACUCUCCCAGCAGGAGGCAAAGGCUGGACUCUGAGCCAGGGAUGGAGGAACCUGAGAAAGGGGACAUUUGGUGAUGUCUGGAGACAGGUUUGACCAUCACAACUUGAAGGGGGACCUACUGGCAUCUAGAAGAGAGAAGUGGCCAGGGCGCUGCUGAGCAUCCGGCAACAAGAAAGACUCGACAAUGCAACGAGUCAACAGCACCAAGGUGGGGAGACCCUGCUGUACCCGAGGGGAAGUCUGCUGCUUCAGAAUGCCCUUGCUCCCCGGCCUCCCUUAAACUCUGAUUAUUCUCUGACAGAGACGGCCAUGAGCGAACCGCAGGUCUGGCCUCGGCUCUACCUGCCUUGAUAGUAUCUAGCCCUCACCAGGCCCAGCCACACACAAAGAAAUGUGUCUUAGUCUCUCAACAAGCACGAGUGCCCGGCACUGUGCAUGGGGAGCGUAGUCAGCUCUUGGGACAACCCACAGGGCAGAGUCCUCCCAGGAAAAUGUCCACACCAUGGGGGCCUGGGCCUGUGAUUUUCCCACUGUGAGCCUCUAUUUGCUCAUCUGUCAAAUGGGACCUACCCCCUCAUCUAACCUGGCAACAAUUCUCAGAGAUAUGUCGCUGCAGUUCAUCUCCACAAGGAUUCAAGAUUUAAGUCUUGAGGUACUAGGUCCUAGGUGUCAUGGAGCAGAGAUUUUAACUCAGUUCUGCCUGAACCCAGGACCCAGGUCACCCAUAGUCCCCCAAGUGCUAUGAGAGUAGAGUGCAAGUUCUCAAGCUUGAUUGCUGGGCUCCACCCCCAGAACCUUCUGAUUCCACAGUUUACUUUUGCAUACAUGUGAGCAGACAUUGCCUGCUGCUGCUGGCCCAGAGACCACAUCCAGGAACCCUAGAGUAGAGCAUGAUGUCAUAUUGCCUCUAUGGGGUUCAAAUCCUGGCUCCGGCUCUUGCUGGCUCUACAACUUGGGAAUAUCACUUAACCUCUUCCUCUGAAAAGCAGAGAUAACAGCAACAUCACAUAGGGUUUGCUGAAAGGAUUAAAGGAGAUAAUGACAAAGGGAAAGCCUGUCUCACAAGUCGCACCUGACAAAUACUCAUAAAUACUCACCAGCAUGAGUCCCCAACACAGCAACUCCCCACUGCCCUAGACACACAGAAGCUCCGAGAGGAUUAACCUUCCUCUUCGCCUGUCUCCUGCCACUUGCCUGCACGGGGCAGGACACGGAGAUGACAUCUCAGGACUAGCACAGGAGGAGAAGGAGGAUGCAGGCCACGUCUGCCAGGGCCCAAGGGGCCUCUGCCCCACAGCACAGGCCUCCGGAAGCAGAGGUGAGAGCAGAGCACAGGGAGCACUGAUGACCUCCGUGCCGACCUGGUCCCUCACCUUCUGCCAGGCUCUGCCAACUGCCAGUAAUUCUUUUGGGGGGUAAGAGCUGCCAUCCUUUGACUACCAAUCAACUCAAAUCAGUCUCUGCAUUGUGUAACCCUUAGCCAACUCCUAGGCCUCUCUGGGUCUUAUUUUCUUCACCUGAGACUCCAACAAGAACUCAGCAAGGGCCUCCCCGGUGGUGCAGUGGUUGAGCGCUGGCCUCUGCGGUGCCGGUUCGAUCCCCAGCUGCUCCCCGGCCACCAGAGGAGGGUCCCACAUGGCGUGCAGACCUCUCCUGCCGCCCGCUGCUCCCCUCAGCAGUGUCCUUCGGUCCUUCUGCCUGCUCUGCUCCCCGCUCUGGC